Mustela putorius furo (domestic ferret) is the source of this 124-nucleotide small nuclear RNA. NCBI's taxonomy places the organism in Eukaryota, Metazoa, Chordata, Mammalia, Carnivora, Mustelidae. The record is from Ensembl.
GUGCUGUACAAAGGAGAGAAGCUUAGCCUUCUCCUUGACAAGGACAGAGGAGACCUUUAGGCCUGUACAACACACGUAGAGUUAAGGCAGUGUCACUUACUUGGUGGCAUGUGAACAUUGUUUU